Molecule: long non-coding RNA, 7543 nt
Organism: Erpetoichthys calabaricus (reedfish)
Lineage: Eukaryota; Metazoa; Chordata; Cladistia; Polypteriformes; Polypteridae
Exons: 2
Source: RefSeq, a predicted model, not a curated record
AGAGAUAAGGACUAUGGCAUACUCUCCAUCUUUCUCUCCGCCUCUUUGUCCGAUGGUGCUGUGAAUUUUUAUGGAAUGUCUUUCUUUAAUUUUACCUGCAUUUGUAAAUAAGUGCCAUACUUUAAAGUUAUAAAUGGACAAUACACUAUUUGACACCUGAACUGAAUAAAACCACCCAACCCCUUUUUCUGAACCCCUCUUUUUCUAUUACAGGCAGGUGCAGCCUCUCCCAGCAGCACCGGGUGCCAAGCAGGCAGGAGCACAAAGGAGAAAGCGAAUGAUGUCAGUCCCGCGGUGGCCUGAUGCACUAAGUAAGUCUGUGCUUUUGGUGCUUUCUGAGGUCCCCGCUCUACACUUGGCGUUAACAUGAGUUUUGUAUGUGGAUGAAGUUAAAGUGGCACUCAAAUGUUCCUCCAGUGAUGACACUUAAUGACACUGUUAGAAUGUGUGUGGCAGCGGACAUGGCAGCAGUAACCCACAUGGGCACCUCCAUGAGAGAAUUCCUAAAACGGUGAAGACCAAAGGAAAAUAAAUAAAAACAAAGCACCUUCAGCGUGGGAAAGGUGCCAUAGAAAUAAAAUGUAUUAUUAAUUAUAAUUACAUUAUGAUGAUGUCAAAAAUAUAACAUAUUUAUAAUACACAAAGGUAAGCAAUAGAAAAAGUAAUUUGGAAUAAAUAAAUUUGGGAAAAAAAAAACUUUCCCAACAAGAUCACCAAAAAUGCAUAUUAAUGCCAGGAGUAAAAGGGUCCUCGGACCCCAAUUUAGUUCAAAUGCUGUGUCGAAGCACUCGAUAGAAGUGACAAAAUGACAGAAAUUACAAGAAAGUCAUUGCAAAGUAACUUUCACUAAUGCUGAAUAUAAUUAUUAACAUCAUUGCUGCAUUAAAUGAAACCAAGUGUCACUGAUGAGGUCCCCUCCAUUUUCACGUCCCCGCAUGGAGAAGUUGGCCAUCAACCCAAAGACCCCCCCCAAGUCAGGAGUGAAUCUCAUUUUGUAAAGCUGCUUAAUCACUUGCUUCUGACAUGGAGCCCCCGGGUUUGCAGCCUGCCAGUCUGUGUGAGGACAAGAAACGGAGAAGGACGGAACCCUGAGUGAUUCCUCGCCGGUGACACUCCAGUUAUUUAAGCCUCGCUUUUGUUUACUUCAGGUAGGAGUUUGCAGCUAAAGUGUCCAAAGCUCACGUUAUCAGGUGCUGUUUCAUUGUGAUUACAGCGGUGGGCUUUCUCACCGAGUUCAUCCCGGCCAAUGCUGGAGUACAGAAGUCUGGCUUGGUGGCAAGCUCGUGGGGCCAAAUGAGAACACACGUCUGGAGACAACUCGCCAAAAACGUCUGUAGGGAAUCGCAGCAGAAUCUGCCACGGAAAAGACUCCGCCCACGGGGUUUGCUCCUGGAAACCCACCCUUCACACUUUAGUUUGCAGUGUCCCGUUUCUGCACAGACAAAUAUGUGAGGGAGUGAGAGAAGAAGAAACACAAGUAAAGACUCAACACUGAGACAGAAUACAGUAGCAAGAAGAAGUAUGUGACAUGACCCGUGUAAGAAGUGACCGCACAGGCAGACAAGUCAGAGAACCAAAGAAAGGACGGGGCACCAGCCUGGUCACCCCGUUUAAUAUCAACAAAAAAGACAGCCAGUAACGACUCCAAAACAACAGUAGUGAUAUUAGCAGUAAGCGUUGUCAUGGCUAGUAGGAGCUCCGUCCUGUGAUCUAGUCAGUAUAGCACCUGAUGCCAUCUUCUGGGAAUGGGCUGGUGUUAUAGGGUGGAGACCGGAAGGCGCAGAUUUUCCUUUGGGUGAUGGGGAUGGAAUCAUUCAUCCCUUUUGGUUGUUUUUCUUGGUUUCAGAGGGGGAAGGAGAACCCCUCUGUUAGCAUCAGUGCCUCUCUCUCUCGUCCCGGGGUGGUACUGCCUACCUCAUUUAAGCCAGGGAGGUGGUCCCCAGCCACACAUGCAUGACCACCUGGUUUUCUGUAUCAAUGGGUUUGCAUUAAAGUGAUCCUGUUUUCGGGCGGCACGGUGGCGCAGUGAGUAGUGCUGCUGCCUCGCAGUUAGGAGACCUGGUUUCACUUCCCGGGUCCUCCAUGAGUGGAGUUUGCAUGUUCUCCCCGUGUCUGCGUGGGUUUCCUCCCACAGUCCAAAGACAUGCAGGUUAGGUGCAUUGGCGAUCCAAAAUUGUGCUUGGUGUGUGUGUGUGUGGGCCCUGUGGUGGGUUGGCGCCCUGCCCAGGGUUUGUUUCCUGUCUUGUGCCCUGUGCUGGCUGGGAUUGGCUCCAGCAGACCCCUCGUGACACUGUAGUUAGGAUAUAGCGGGUUGGAUAAUGGAUGGAUGGAUGAUCCUAUUUUCAGCUGUGUCACAAGUAUAGACAGACACAAUAUGCUUACCUUAACAACACACAAUAUUAUAAUCUUUCAAGUAUUUAUUGAUCACACCUAUCAAACAUUCACAGUUUGCUCUGGAAGAACCGUCCUGUUAAAACCAGAACACAAACGCAAUUUUUAAAUUACACGCUAGCCGCAAUGGAUAGAAGCUGACGCAAUCCAACACAUUUGCAGUGAAUUAUGGGUAGUUUGGACACGCACAAAACAGCUCUCUGCCUUUAGUCCAGUUGAAACUACAUGGACACUCUGCUACAGGGCCGCACCAUUGUAUGAUAGAUAGAUAGAUAGAUAGAUAGAUAGAUAGAUACUGAGGGACCUUCGAAAAGUUUCUGCACUUUUAUAUUAUCAUUGGAAGCGGUGAAGUCGGAAGGACAACGCUGGGAAAAUUGCAUCGCAAAGGAAGGUGACUAUUAUUACAAAAGUGAUGUCAUUUAUUUUUGAAAUUCUUAAUAAACAGAGUUAAAAAAAAAAGCACAAACUUUUUGAACAUCCCUUGUGGAAUAACGUCUCGUAGCGAGAGAUCUUUGGGCAGAGGGAGUGAGACCUGCUGAAAUCCGCUGAAGGAUGUUGGUCCAGUAUGGAGGUGAAAACAGCAUUUAUGAAUGGGUAGAAAGGCUUAAAGCGGGAAGAAGAUCUGGUCGACCAUCAACAUCGCGCAUGAGCCCACCAUCGACAUGGCGAACGCCUUCAUCUGAGAAGACCAGUGGAUUACGUUGUCCACUCUAGCUGCACGUUUGGAUAUCUGCCGUGGAUCUGCACAUCCCAUAGUGCUUUGAUGACUGUCGAUUUCGCACAAGAUGGGUACCCUGACAGCUUACUGGUCCGCACACAAGCCAACAUCCGUUGGUGAAUUUCAGCAGGUCUCACUCCCUCUGCCCAAAUAAAUCUCACGACAACGCGCCGCUCAUCAUUGGUGCAGUUGCUGUGUUCGCUUGACUUUGACUCCAACUAGUCUAACAGCAGAGUUCUGCGCCAUUGUUGUGAUGGGAAAUUUUGUAUUCAAGUUGAUUAAUAUUUUGUAUGUCUUUAUUUGUAACAUAGACUUAGCAAAUGUAAUAUUAGUGUUGGAUUAGUGAUAAUAACAGCAAUGGUUUGAUGGUUUAAGAACCCCUACCCCCUUUUAGGACUAAGUCUCUUUGUAAUUUUACGACAGGGUUAGGUGAAGUGCCUCAAACAACUCUGGCUAAUAUUUCUCUGCAGGACUCUCUCUCAACCCCCACAGGAAAACCAGGCUGCCUAACUGCCAAGCUUUACCUUAACACCUGGUUUGGAGGGCAGGUGUGAAGGUGUUCUGUCCCCCCAUUGGUCUGACGUAUGGCUACUUGGAAUUGGCUUGUAUCAAAAGCCCUUAAGUACCAGGACGCCCUAUUGGCUCUAGGGGUGGGCAGAAAACCUAUACAUUUGCUUGCUUUACCUCACUCUCUCUCUCUCAUACCAAACUGAUGAAAGAGCAUCUCACACACACCAUGAACUGAGAAGGACAACACAAUGAAGAGCACGGCUCGGCAGCCAUAUUGAGACAGGCAUGUGGCCUGAAACCUGACCAAAAAUGAGGACUUAACUAGAGACAUUUUAAGUAACUAACAAGUCUGUGUGCCACUUGAAAGUACACAUCAGCAUUUAUCAGGCUGUAUGGUUGCCAAUAUUCAAAUGCACGUUGCAUAUUGUUAUUAUUUAUGAAUAUCUAUAUAUAUAAUUCACUAAGCCCACAGAACAGGCAAGACAACCAUUGGAUACGCACGAUAUAGCCACGCCCGCCAACGCUAAGAUGAUGGGAUACGCCGACAACUCACAGAGCCACGCCCACCGACAACACAGUGCCACGCCCACCAACUCUAAGACCAUAGGACGAGAACGCCUGCCCACCUGCCUGACUGUUAAAAUCUGCAAUGGUUUUACACGCUGGUAACUCACAAACUGCAACAACUCACCAAACAAGGACACCCUGUCUCUCAAGGCAUUCACACUGCCGGAAGACAAUCAUGGGAUACGCAAAAAAUAGCCAUGUCAGUCAACUCACAAAGCCCAGCCCACCAACUCGAGCACGCGUCCACCCACGCUCUCAAGGCAUUCACAGUGCCUGCUCAUGUGCCCGGACGCAACAACUCACCACACACAAAUUUUGCUUAAUUUGACUCAACACGGGAAACCUCACCCGGCCCGGACACGGAGAGGAUUGACAGAUUGAUAGCUCUUUCUCGUUUCUGUGGGUGGUGUUGCAUGGCCGUACUUAGUUGGUGGAGCGAUUUGUCUGGUUAAUUCCGAAAACGAAUGAGACUCUCUACUGCUAAAUAGUUACGCGAUUGCCAAGCGUUCGGCGUCCAACUUCUUAGAGAGACAAGUGGCUUUGAGCCACGUGAGAUUGAGCAUUAACAGGUCUGUGAUGCCCUUGGAUGUCCGGUACUGCACGCGCGCUACACUGAAUGGAUCAACAUGUGUCUACCCAGCGUGGGUAAGCCGUUGAACCCCAUUCGUGAUGGAGACCGGGGCUUGCAAUUGUUCCCCACGAACAAGGAAUUCCCAGUAAGUGCAGGUCUUACGCUUGCACUGAUUAUGUCCGUGCCCUUUGUACACACAAAUCGCUACUACCAUGGUCGGGUGACUUGGUGGAUUAUAUAUAGAAAAGCAGCCAGAACUGCAAAGAACAAUGAAAAGACAACGUGGCUCAGAGGUGCACAGACGACAGCGACUCAGGUGAGGAGUUGGGGGCGGCACAUGAGCAGGCAGUGCGUACUGAACGAUGAUUGUAUGUUGGUCCGUAGCGUGCAUUGUUGCAAUGUUACUUUUCUAGGUGGUUUAUUAAAUUACGGAUUUUUCAAAUGUUCAUUUUUUUCCCUGUGCUUAAAAAUCAUUAAAAAAGCGGCGUGAUUAUGUGGUGUAUGCUAUGCCGCAGGUUGGCUAGUUAUCAAUAAUACAUUAUUUAAAGUGCAACUUAACUCCUGCUUGUCUUUUACUACACCUAAUUGCCUGAGAUUGUAGAUGUCGAAGGGAAGGUGGGGAGAGAAGUUAUAUGGUACAAUACCUGAUAAACAGUGGCAACUCUGGGAGAUCGGAGGCAUUCUGACAAAGGCUACAUAUUAAUAAUACAAAAGGGGGAAAGUAGAGUCAUAUAUUACUCUACCAAGAAAAAACAGCCGUGUGUGUUCAAAUUACCCAUAAGCCACCGCAAAUGUGUUAUAUUGUGUCAACUUCUAUCUAUGGUGGUUACCGCGUCAUUUUCAAAAUGAUUUACUCUCAUACUUUCAACAACUGAAGUGUGGAGUCAAAAAAAUCACGGCUAGGUUUUUGGCCUGAGAUGACGCACACGAGACAAGAUGGGCUAAAUUUCUGAAAGCGCGUCUAGUAGACUUGGAGAGGUUAAAUAAAUUAACCCUCGGCUUCAUCGUCAUUAAGCUAGAGAAAGUUAAUCAUCGAUCUAGCCUUUAAUGUAUGUCCUGACCCAGCAGGAAAACUGAUAACUAGUUUCUUGAGUAAACCGGGAAAUGCUUGCAAAAUAAAACGAAGCGACCGAAACUAAGAUGAAAGGAAUAGAUCACGGUCGAUAAUCGGGCAAGACACGAAACUUAAUCACAAAAGAAUUCAGACAUGGGAAGAAGGUUUUAUCCUCAGAUCAGAUAAGGCGGAGUGCAAAAGGCUUAGAUAGAUAGAUAGAUAGAUAGAUAGAUAGAUAGAUAGAUAGAUAGAUAGAUAGAUAGAUAGAUAGAUAGACCGACCUUUCAUCUCGUCUGCUGAUCGUGACCCCGGAGAACGCAGGACGCGCCCCGACAACGGUACACAUAUCGCUUCAAUAACGGUAAAAGGCUAUAAGAUCUCGAAUUUCAGCCCUAAUCCUCCUGUAAACGGUGGUGUUUUAAUCGCUAUCUUUCACUUGUGUCAUUUUUGAUUUGUAUAAUUCCGGUAUCACAGGAAGGUUUUUCCAACCUUACAACAAUUGAAAAUGUCCUCCACACACACAGCCCCGUUUAUAUGUCUUUUUUUUUUUAAGGAGAAUUUUUCUAGCCAUCGAAGAUCUACCCAUCGUGACCGCAGACGUGGCACUCGGGGUUAACGAGCUCUCCGUUUCUCCUUGCACCCCACCCCACUCUGAGCUCCGCCUCCACGAGGCAUUGGGAUUAGUUUGAAAAUCUCAGCUCUGAAUCGGCCGUCUCAUUGUUCCCACCCACUUUUAAACCAAAUUCACUCUUGGUUGUCUCCAGGCGUACGUGUUUGUCACCUUUGGCUCUCCCAAGAUUAAGCGAGGCCUAACUCCGAUAUACAAAUGUUGCUUGGGUUUCUGCUGGGAUGUUGAUGCUCCACUCCGAUUGUGUAUUGAAUUCUCUCUCUUUUUCUUUUGGUCUGUUACUGCAGAUUACAGUUCUUCCUAUCCUGCUGCAGAAUGCUGCUCCGGCCAUGAAAAAAAAACAAAACGAUUUUGUAAUAUGUCUUCUUUCUUAUAUUUGAUUAUUAUGAAGAUGAUGAUAAUGAUGAUGAAACCUUUAUUUAUUACAAAACAGUUACGAUACAGGUAAUGCAAUGCAUCCACAGCACAUGCAGACAAACUCUUCACUUUCCAUUUCCACAUGUCACUUAUUUUCUAUCCACGAAGGCCAUCCUUCUUUCUUAUAAUGGACCCCGUCACACUGCAGCGUAACCGCUGGCCCACCAGUGCCUUUUGAAAAUGCAUUGAAUGAGUAAGAAGAGCGACUUCAUGUACGACACCAGUGAGGUCUGUAUGCUCGAACACCAAUCGGACAUCCAGGUUUUAGGAGGUCAGGCUGUUGCCAUUAAAACAAAAGGUCAGAUCUGAACGCACUUGGAGUGGACAGUAGAAAGCGGUCCUGUUAGUCCCAGCCAGCGCGGUCACCCCACACACGCAGACGUCCAAUAGCAUCAAACAGAAGCCAAUACAGCGAAAAAUGACCCUGUGCUCAUACUUCAACAGCCCUUCGGACGACGCAUGACAUUUUAAAGGAGAUUCCGAGAACUUCCAACUUCUUUCCACCGCACUCAUUCAUUUGACCGAAGGUGACCGGAGGUGUCUGUGUGGACCCCAUCUCCACCACGAUGGAGGAGUAGAUUUGCCAGAUGAAGCAAUAAUUUUAGAAUCCAUUUUAUGUUUGCACACCCUGCCUACUACCACAAAAAAAAUUUAAAAAGAAAAACAAUAAAUCUUUUGCUACAUUGG